Arabidopsis lyrata subsp. lyrata is the source of this 74-nucleotide small nucleolar RNA. It matches the Rfam family "Small nucleolar RNA snoR120". The record is from Rfam. NCBI's taxonomy places the organism in Eukaryota, Viridiplantae, Streptophyta, Magnoliopsida, Brassicales, Brassicaceae.
GAAUAUGAGGAACAAAUGACUCAACCGUGAAUCAAACCAUGAACCAAAUUUUGCUUAUUGAUAUUCUGAUUCCA